Molecule: transfer RNA, 90 nt
Filed under: SAR202 cluster bacterium Io17-Chloro-G1
Lineage: Bacteria; Bacillati; Chloroflexota; Dehalococcoidia
Also listed under: 3 other names
Description: tRNA-Ser
Rfam family: tRNA
About the family: Transfer RNA (tRNA) molecules are approximately 80 nucleotides in length. Their secondary structure includes four short double-helical elements and three loops (D, anti-codon, and T loops). Further hydrogen bonds mediate the characteristic L-shaped molecular structure. tRNAs have two regions of fundamental functional importance: the anti-codon, which is responsible for specific mRNA codon recognition, and the 3' end, to which the tRNAs corresponding amino acid is attached (by aminoacyl-tRNA synthetases). tRNAs cope with the degeneracy of the genetic code in two manners: having more than one tRNA (with a specific anti-codon) for a particular amino acid; and 'wobble' base-pairing, i.e. permitting non-standard base-pairing at the 3rd anti-codon position.
Source: RNAcentral
GGAGAGGUGGCCGAGCGGCUUAAGGCGCUAGUCUCGAAAACUAGUUUGGGGGCAACUUCAACGUGGGUUCGAAUCCCACCCUCUCCGCCA